GUCUCGGGCCGGGAUGUUCACAACCCUUUGUUGUCCGACUCUGUUGCCUCCGGGGCGACCCUGCCUCCGGGCGGGGGCCCCGGGUGGACAUCUCAAACUCUUGCGUAACUUUGCAGUCUGAGUAAAUUUAAUUAAUAAAUUAAAACUUUCAACAACGGAUCUCUUGGUUCUGGCAUCGAUGAAGAACGCAGCGAAAUGCGAUAAGUAAUGUGAAUUGCAGAAUUCAGUGAAUCAUCGAAUCUUUGAACGCACAUUGCGCCCCCUGGUAUUCCGGGGGGCAUGCCUGUUCGAGCGUCAUUUCACCACUCAAGCCUCGCUUGGUAUUGGGCGACGCGGUCCGCCGCGCGCCUCAAAUCGACCGGCUGGGUCUUUCGUCCCCUCAGCGUUGUGGAAACUAUUCGCUAAAGGGUGCCGCGGGAGGCCACGCCGUAAAACAACCCCAUUUCUAAGGUUGACCUCGGAUCAGGUAGGGAUACCCGCUGAACUUAAGCAUAUCAAUAAGCGGG
RNAcentral lists this ribosomal RNA (506 nucleotides) under Cladosporium sphaerospermum. RNAcentral describes it as "eukaryotic LSU rRNA". The stretch from base 144 to 297 matches the Rfam family "5.8S ribosomal RNA". Lineage: Eukaryota; Fungi; Ascomycota; Dothideomycetes; Cladosporiales; Cladosporiaceae. The record is from RNAcentral.